UGUGAAAUGGGCCAUUGCAAAAAGGA
Molecule: non-coding RNA, 26 nt
Filed under: Mus musculus (house mouse)
Lineage: Eukaryota; Metazoa; Chordata; Mammalia; Rodentia; Muridae
Source: RNAcentral